RNAcentral lists this long non-coding RNA (1251 nucleotides) under Bos grunniens (domestic yak). Its description in RNAcentral is "lncRNA (ENSBGRG00000008382.1)". The record is from RNAcentral. Lineage: Eukaryota; Metazoa; Chordata; Mammalia; Artiodactyla; Bovidae.
UAAGGCAUUCUUCGAAUGUGGGCUCAACGUGAAUUUCUGUACGUCUUUAACCCAUCAGGGACUAAGAUUAGACUCUGGGUAUAGAAAUACAUAAUUAAGAAGAAGGGUUCACAAAAAUAUGCAAUUAACUAACCUGUUUUGCUGAUGCUGAUCAGAUUAACCACGUUUCUCCUCACUCCCUUCUGUAUGGAAUAAUACCCUGCCUUCUAUCUUGUUUGGCAAAUUCCUAUUUACUGUUCCAAGGAAGAUCAAAUGUUACCUCUUACAGGAAGUUUCCCAAAUUCCCUCAGAUUAAUUUCUUUCUUUCCUAUCAUCUCAAAGUAUGCUGCAUGUGACUCCUUCAGAGCACUCGUAUGCUGCACUAUAUUUAAUCUUCUAUUUAUGUAGCUCCUCACUGCUCGGAAUUUGAUCAGGGAAUAGUCGACCCAAACAUACUUCUGGAGAGUGUCAAGAACAAGAAUUUCCUAUGCUCCAUCCUGUGGCGGAGCACAACCAGACUGGGGAGCCUAAUGACUGCAGCCAGAUGCUUAUUCAUGAACUGAGAAUCACUGUGUAUACACUGUCUGAAAACGUUGUGGGGUUGGGUGAGUUAAUUAUGAUUGGUAUAUUCAUAGAUAAUAUAUUCAAAAAUGGUGAACCACUGCACACAUUCUUCCUUUGAAGAAGGCUACAUUAGAUUCUAGGCUCAGAUAGUCAAAGAUUGGAUUUUUACCUGCAAGAAUAUCCAGAAAGAUCACUAAAAUUUGUGUAGAGAAUGUGGGAAGGUUUUGGUGUGUGAGGCUGUCCAGUGUACAACACUGUUGAUUCCUCCGACUAAUUGCCAACUCUGCCGUUUGAUAUUUCUAGCAACAAAAAUGUCAUUUAACACAUCCCAGGCACCUCCUCGAGGUCACACCAGCACAGUUGGAAAUCAUUGAUAGAAUCUUCCUGAUUUUUUCAAAUGAACAAACUUUAGCCAACUCAAGAGCAAAUCAAGUUUAAAAACUGAACAAGAAAAUAUUUUAUCUUGCUAUGGUCCACUUUAAAUAUAUUAGGUUGGCCAAAAAGUUCAUUUGGGUUUUUCCAUAAGAGGUAACAGAAAAACCUGAAAGAAGUUUUUGGCCAACCAACAGCAACUCUUCAAUAUGCAGGCUCCUCUUGCUUUUAUGUUGUCUUUAAUUGCUUUAAGUUCCUAUCACACCUUCCUAAAUCCAUUGGCAUUUCUAACCUAGUAUUCCUUCUUGCUGCUUAAAUUUCCACUUCAUUCAUGAA